Molecule: long non-coding RNA, 465 nt
Filed under: Gallus gallus (chicken)
Lineage: Eukaryota; Metazoa; Chordata; Aves; Galliformes; Phasianidae
Description: lncRNA (ENSGALG00010005144.1)
Source: RNAcentral
CAAACCUCAUUUAAGGGUUGGCAGCGGUAGUAAGGGUGUUUUGCUGGAGAUCCCUCUGCACUUGAGGCCUUCUGGGGGCAAUGAGUGUCUGAGUCUGUUAGGCCAAACUCCAUAAACCUCACCAGAAUGUCAGCUAUCAAGAUGACAAUUUCUGGAACUCAAGGCACAGCCGAAGAAGCCUUUCCGGACCAGAAACCUUUCUGGACCAGAAAAUGACCAUGGGACACAACAUACACAUGCCAGUGAAUAGGCUAUCAGGAGAUAAGAUAAUGUAACAAAUUCUGAAGAGGACAAGAUACAGGGCAAGCUGUCUCCAGGCCAUGCUACCAUUUAUGGAGGAGUCUUUAAAAAAAGACAUACCCUGCUGCAGACCUUGGACCAAAAAUGUUCAGUGCUACAUGAAAGGAAAGGCAUUCCCAGAGAGAGCUGUUCCCUUCCCAGACCUGGGAUUUUUCCCAAGAAGAG